CCUUCACUAACCCUUCUUCUUACAUCUUUUAUAGUAGAUAAUGGUGCUGGUACAGGAUGAACAGUUUACCCUCCUCUAGCAGGAGCUAUUGCACAUGGGGGUGCAUCUGUAGAUCUAGCUAUUUUUUCACUGCACUUAGCAGGUGUAUCAUCUAUUCUUGGUGCAGUGAAUUUCAUUACAACAGCAAUUAAUAUACGAUCAGAAAGUAUAACUUUAGAUCAAACACCUUUAUUUGUAUGAUCUGUAGCUAUUACAGCAUUACUUCUCCUUCUUUCACUUCCAGUUUUAGCAGGAGCUAUUACUAUAUUAUUAACAGAUCGAAAUUUAAAUACAUCAUUCUUUGACCCUGCAGGAGGGGGUGACCCAAUUCUAUAUCAACAUCUAUUUUGAUUCUUUGGACACCCAGAAGUUUAUAUUUUAAUUCUACCGGGGGUUCGGAAUUAUUUCACAUAUUGUAUGUCAAGAAAGAGGAAAAAUUGAAUCAUUUGGAACAUUAGGUAUAAUUUAUGCUAUACUAUCAAUUGGACUAAUAGGAUUUAUUGUAUGAGCACAUCAUAUAUUUACAGUAGGAAUGGAUGUUGACACACGAGCAUAUUUUACAUCAGCAACAAUAAUUAUUGCUGUACCUACAGGAAUUAAGGUAUUUAGAUGAUUAGCUACAUUAUAUGGAACUAAAUUCAAGUUCAAUCCACCAUUAUUAUGAGCUCUAGGAUUUAUUUUCCUAUUUACAAUUGGUGGAUUAACAGGAUUAGUAUUAGCAAAUUCAUCACUUGAUAUUGUAUUACAUGAUACAUAUUAUGUAGUAGCCCACUUUCAUUAUGUAUUAUCUAUAGGAGCAGUAUUUGCAAUUAUAGGAGGUGUCAUUCAAUGAUAUCCACUAUUUACAGGAUUAACUAUAAAUAAUACAUGAUUAAAAAUCCAAUUUACAAUUAUAUUCAUUGGAGUAAAUUUAACAUUCUUUCCUCAACACUUCCUAGGAUUAGCAGGAAUACCUCGACGAUACUCUGACUACCCAGACGCAUAUACAUCAUGAAACGUAGUAUCAAGAAUUGGGUCUACAAUUUCUAUUGUAGGAAUCAUUAUAUUCAUUGUAAUUAUAUGAGAAAGAAUGAUUACAAACCGAGCAAUUAUAUUUAGAGCUAACAUAAGAAGAUCAACAGAAUGACUACAAAAUAACCCUCCUGCAGAACAUAGUUACUCAGAAUUACCAUUAAUCUCUAGAU
This is a long non-coding RNA of Schistocerca gregaria, 1223 nucleotides long. RefSeq lists it as uncharacterized. The record is from RefSeq and is a predicted model, not a curated record. NCBI's taxonomy places the organism in Eukaryota, Metazoa, Arthropoda, Insecta, Orthoptera, Acrididae. The transcript is spliced from 2 exons.